Molecule: long non-coding RNA, 11179 nt
Filed under: Theobroma cacao (cacao)
Lineage: Eukaryota; Viridiplantae; Streptophyta; Magnoliopsida; Malvales; Malvaceae
Description: long non-coding RNA (TCAC_LNC005351)
Source: RNAcentral
GCCAUUCUCUCAUUCUCCCAUGGAAAGUUAAUUUUCUUUCAUUUUUUUCCUUGUUUUCUUUUCAUUUCCUUUCUCUUCUUGUUUCUUUCUUCUCUCAACUCCUUGUGCACCAAAGUUACAACUUCUAAACCCAAUUUCCAGCACUUCCAAACCCAAGGAAAGAGAAAGAAAAAUCUCUUUUUCUUUUCUUUAUUUUCUAUUUCUACUUCACUUUCAACAGCACUUGGAUUUUUGGCUUCAAAUCUUCAUUUUCAAGGUUGAAAGGUAUAUAUUUUCAACUUUUGGAAUUUUUGAAUUUAUGGUUAUAUAUUCAGAUUUAUUCCCUAAUUUCUUCAAAUUAUUUUUCUUGAAAAGAUUAAGUUUUUUUUAUUGAUCUUCAUGCCUUCAAGCUCAUCCAGGUAACGAAAUUGUAAAUUGGAGUAGUUGGCCAAAUGGGUUUCUAAAUUAGACUAGACACUUAGGUUAAAUGUUAGGUUAGAGGGUAGAUUGCCUAAUGUAAAUUCAUUAGAAUUAUUAGAUUUAAUUUAUGACUUAAUUGAGGUUGUUAUGGUUUAUUGAUAAAUAUACGCUUUAAUGGUAUUUCGAGACUACUUGGAUUAGGACCUUGCUAGUGCUAGUUUUGUCAGGUGAGUGAACUUGCAUUUCAAAAUAUUUUGGGGAAAUGUUUACGUGUUUCAAUGAAUCAUUUGGGAAUUUUAUCGAUUUUUGCUUUAAAAUUUCCUAGGAACAAGCCCUUGAUAAAACGUUUGAUGUUGUAAAAUGUGAAAUGUGUAAAAGGUUGAAUCCAUAUGUUUUUGUAUAAUGUUGAUAUAUAUAUAUAUAUAUAUAUAUAUAUANNNNNNNNNNNNNNNNNNNNNNNNNNNNNNNNNNNNNNNNNNNNNNNNUAUAUAUAUACUAUGUCAUAAAUGGUACCAUUGUGUGACAAAUGCAACCGUGCAUGUGCAGGGUGAGUGUGCACUUGCCGGUGAUGACGGUGGUGAGGGAGAUGGAUGGUGAUGCUGUCCGGCUAUGUGCACGAUGUGGUGGGAUGCACAUGAGCUGGGUGAAAUGCACAUGAUGAAUCUUGAAAAUUUGUCAUUUAUUUGCAAAUUGAUUUUAUUGCAACGAGAAACAUUCUGUUUAUACUGCCUUACUUAGAUAAUUGCUAAAAAUUUCCCUUCUUUCCAAUUUCAUGUUGAAUAUGGUUCCUUCAUCAUUAAAUGAUUUUACAACCAAGGGUUUAAUGGAGGGAUUUUAAAAAGAACUUGAACUAAAUGGCAUUGUUUUCAAAUAAGUGCAUUGUGUUUUCUAAACCAUUCCUUGUCAUUGCUUGUUCCUUUCUUAUGUUCACUCAUUGAGUUUGUACUCACAUUUUUAGAAUUCAUGUUUUAGGUUUCCUAAGUUAAAGGUGAUUGGAUCCUAGGACAAGGUGCUCUUCCCUAUCCAUUGCUCGGUAGGUUUACCAUGACAUUAAAUGUUAGCAACUGUGACCAGAGUUACUCCGCUGACGGUCAAGGUCUAAUUAUGUGUAUAUGAAUACUUGAGGUGAAAUACUAAGAUUCAUUGGUCAAGCUAUAUAUAUAUAUAUUAUGGUAGAUGAUGCCAUUAUGAAUGCAUAAUUGGGUUUUAUGAAUUGUUUUCAAAGAGACUACAUUUGAACAUUAUGAAUUUUAGAUUUUAAAGGUAUAUGAAUUACUGUAUAAGAUUAUACAAUAAGGCUUGCUUGGGCUUAGUGGGUUGGGCCCAUUGGGCCCUUGCAUCGGUCAUGACCAUGAAAUUGGGCUGUGACAAAGGUGGUAUCGGAGCUUUAGGUUUAGUUGAGUCUUAGGGAUUCCUGUGUGGUUAGCGGAGUUGUUGGAGUUUGUGUAAAGUCUUGUCCUUGGAUAGUGGGUGCACAACGCAAGUCAAGGAUGGGAGUCUACAUGGGCCCCUACUUCAUUAGAAACCUACCUGUUCUUAUGAUGUUUAGAUGGAUGAGUAAUUAAUACUUGGUUGCGUAUAGGUGGAGGUGCACCAGUUGCACACUCCAUGUCUAGAAAAAAUGGUAGUCCCGAUACCCCUUAUAGUUCUGUGAGGGAUCACUAGAUUCCACUGCUCGGAGCUGAUAUGUACCCGAGGGUGAAAGCAUAACAAGUAACCCGACUUGAUUUUCGAGUGGAUGGAUUCUCCCGAGAGGUAAACCACUAUUUAAGAGCUUCAGGAGUCUCGCAAGACUAGUGCAUAAUGAGAUCGAUCGGAGGAAAAAGAACACGAAUAAAAUGGGAAAAAAGACUAUCAGUAAUUAUCAUCCUAGGAAGGUAUCUGUAUCCGUUGUCUGACACUUUCCUCUUGGUUGUGGGAGAGGUGUUGUACUUGUUAGUAAGGAGAAAUUUGAGAAGCAGCAACAAGCUUGGAUUGAGAAUAAAAAAUUGGAAAAUCUCAAGAGGAAAAGGAGGACUUGGAAAAGGAUCUGUCGAUGUGCUCGGAUCAAGGCGACGAGGAUCCUAAAGACACUUAAUAUUUUCGUUGAAGUUCGUAUCACUUUAAGUCUAGGUAGAUGCGGUGUAAAGGAAAUAGUAGUAGUUAUCCAUACAAAAGAGUUAAGAGUUGGCUUAUAUUUUGUAUGACUUGAAUGAAUUAUAAAGUAGCUAUUUAAAUAACUGGAUGUGUAUGGGAAUCUUUUGGUAUAACAGAGGUAGGCUAGUAAUAUAAUUAUUGAGGAAGGAUAUUCACCUUAGUGGUGUGGUUGGUCACCUUAGAUGAUUAUUAAGGAUUGACGUAUAAAGUCAUUAAUGGUACAAACAACUACGAGACCUGACAAAUGAUUACCAAUUAAUUAUGGAAAGGUGAAAUUUGAAAUCCCAAUUGCAGUUACAAUUUGGACAGAUAUGGGAGAAAUCAAUGAGGAUAUAAGUGACACUUAGAAUGGGUGAUGUGAUUAAGUCAAAGAUUGUAAAAUUUAAGUAUGGAGGGAACUACAAAAUGAUGCCAUGACAUUAUAAGAUGAUAAUUUGGCACAAAUAUGGACUAAGGAGUCAAAUUAUGGAACUUGGGGAAAAGUGAAUCCUUGAUUUAAUAAAAAUUGUGGAUGUAGAGCGUGGAGAAAGAUGAACUAUUUUCAUGGUCAUUUGUACUGAAAGUCAACAAAACUGUUUGAGUUACAUGAUGUCACAACCCAAAAUUUCGAGCCAUGAUCGGUGCAUGGGCCCAAUGGACGUAGUCCACGAAGCCCAAGCAAGCCUAUUAAUCUGACAUGGUCAUCAUUCCAUCAUAAACUGCUAAGUCACAUUUCAUAACUUAGGAUCAAAAUAAUAUUAAACAUUGCCACCUCAUAUUGGCAUACCAAACAAGUGUAUAUACAUCGUCUACAAUAUGUAUCUUAAUAAUUUACAUUAGGUUUGUCUAUACACAACAAAAGAAUACUCGACUUCCAACGGAGGGACUCAGAUGAAUGUACAGCUACUGAAUGCCGAGACACUUACCAAAAGAUGGAUACAAGUCUACAAGGACACCUCGUCCUAGUUACCGACUGCCUCGUGAUAUGAAAACAUGAAGUUGAAAAUGGUAAGUAUAAACCUAGUGAGUGAACAAGGAAGGGAACAAGCAACAAUAGGGAAGAAUUUAAAAUCAUGAUACACUUGUUUUAAAACAAUGCAAUUUAAUUUCAUUCAUAUUAAAAACCCCUUAUCAAACCCUUAAAUGAUUAAUCACUUGGUAAUAAUGAACCCAUACAUAACAAAUAAUUUGAAAACUUGAGGUUUCAGUGAUACGCAAACAAGUCAAAUGUGACAACGAAUCUUCGCUGCAGCGGAAAGGUAUUCUCACUGCAGCGAUGUUGGAAUUUAAGUUAUUAGCUGAACGAGGGCUUCUCAACUGGCCGAGGGUUUCUUACCAAACCUCCUCAUUUUAAACUUAAAUCAUUUAUUCCUUAAUGUUGAAGUCCAUGCUCAACCAUGGUAUCAAAGAGGUGAAAAAUAGGGCAACAAUUGAUCAAGAUGUGAGACAAAACAGAAAGUUUUUCGCUGCAGCAAGAAUGAAUCUUACUGUAGCGAAAUUUUUGCACCAAGACAGAAACUUUCUCGCUGCAAUGAGAUUUAUUCUCGCUGCAGCGAGUUUUCAGCCAGCCACCCUCCAAAAAACCCUAGAGUUUCUCGCUACAGUGAGAAACAGGGCACCAAUGAAAAAUUUCACUUCCUCCCAAAGAAAACCACCCUGCUGAAAUGUCCAAAACCAAUAGGAAACACAUAACAACUUCCCAAAGUUUAACAUACUGAAUUUCACAUACAUUACAACCAUAUACCAUUACUCAUAAAUUUCUUAUAACACACAUGUUUUCAUAUAUAUAUGUAUAUACAUAUACCCAUCAUCAUCAUGCACACCAUCCCAUCAUCCCCAGCUCAUGCGCACUCCCUACUCGCACAUGGCUAGGUCAUCAUCGAGUUAUGCGCACUCCCUACUCGAACAUAACCGGGUCAUCAUCGGCUUAUGCGCACUCCCUACUCGCACAUAGCCGAGUCAAAAUCAUUACACAAUAAUGUAUUCAUAUAUAUAUAUAUAUAUAUCAACACAAUGUGGUAGUGCAUGAAUCAAUAAUAGUCACAUGUCAUAACAAGGAGACAAUUUAUCAAAAGCUUGUUCCCAAGUCACUUGUUUUUAUGAAAAGCUAGAUAAUCCAUUCAAAUGUUUGGCAAAUACAUUAUAUCCCCAAAACAAGUUUUGAAUGUAGUUCACUCACCGAUUUAUUGUUGAGCCUUUAGUUGACUCUAAUUCCUUUAAUGAUCCAAUUGGGGUGAUGGGGCUUCGUUAGAACCUAAAAUCACAUUAGCAUCAGCAAUAGGUCAAUUCACAUACUAUAAACCCUAAAAGCUAUCUCUUAGCUAGCUUUCAAUUGCCACAUUAAAUGGCUAUCUAUGUUCACUAUCUUAAUCACUAUAAAUUUAAUGAACAUCCUCAACAAUAAAACAGCUCAUAAUCUCAAUUACUAGCCAUUAUCCACAGCUAAAAACCAAGCUUAGUUCAUCACUCACCCUAAGGUUUCUUUGUAGUUGAAUUCUCUUCUAAUAGCUUCUAAACAAAUGGAGUAAUUCUCUCUUUCUCUCUCUAAAAUGCCCAACUAGUGAGAGAAAGUAUGGAAAUAAGAUUUUUUAAGGGUUUUAAGGAGAGAGAGUGAAAAAGCACAAGGGUCUAUGGAAAGGGUGCACCAAAAGCAUGAAUUUUAGAGCUAUUUAGGGAAGAUUGUGGAAUUUUUUUUGUCAAGCUUUCAUGGAGGUGGAGAAGCAAUGUGAAAUGAAAGAAGAAAAAGAAGGAAAGUUGCUGGAGAAUGUAGAAGCUGCUGGAAGGAAGAGAUAUUUAUAGCCCAUGCUUAUCCAUUUCACUUAAAUUACUAAAAUGCCCCUCCAUAAAUUAACUUACUCUCCUCCAACCCUUUAUGCAAUCUUUUUACUCCUUUGACACUGGGACAAGGUCCAUAAUGGUCUAGACAUGCUCAGAUUCAUGAAAACUUAAAAUUCUAACCAUAGGUGAAAAAUGACCAUUUUACCCCUAUCGUGAAAAUCAUCAAAAUUUUAAUUUUCUUUUCAUCUUACCCCUAAUUUCAUCAUCCAUUUAUGCCUUAGGCCUACUUAGGCCACAAUAUUAUUUAAAAUCUUACUUUUGUGGGCUUACUAAGAAAAUAACGAAAUUACCCCUGAUCAGGGAUAUCGCGUAUAUUACUAACUACAAGUCUAUAAAGAUCAAGAUCUCACAUAUGACAAGAAAGACAAUUAAUUGUGAAUGCUAAGGAAUUGUGGAAUGUCAUAAAUGGUGGAUAAUUUUACGUGUGGUAUUAUAUAUUGAGAACUUUUUACACAAUAUGGCAAGAUUGUCCUAAGGUGGGACUCAUUGGUUGAAGAAAAAUGUUAAAGGAUAAAAUGAGUUUGAAAAUAUUGACUCGGCUUAGUGCAUAUGAUAAGCAAAAGAGAAGAUACACAUGGUUAUGAAAAUUGUGGGAUAGGCAUGGAGGAAAGCCAAAUGGUUGAGCAUGAUCCCUGUAGUAACUUUAAAGAUGGAAGAACUUAUUCGUGGAAGAAAUUUUCAGCAGCCAUAGCGCUACAGCACUAACUCUUUAACGCUGUAGCGUUGAAACUACCCAUAUCCAACAGUCGCGAUGCUGCAGCACUGACUGUCCAAGGCUGCAACACUACGAAUACCUCAUGUCUAGGGUGCAUGAGCAAGAUGGGAGUGGCACGAUAAUGAGCUUACAAGCUGAAUUAUGGUCAUUGGUCAUUGAGCUUUGUUAUUUGGGAGUUUUAAAUGUUCCGGAGAAUGUUUACAUGAAUGUAUUGAAAAGUUUCUUUAUUGCCUUUUAUAUGGGCAUAUAAUUUAAAGAGAAGUUGAAAGAUUCUUGAGAUGGCUACACUAAGAUAAGAUACCAUGUGAAGUAUUAGGAUGAAUAAUAUGUUGACCAAAGUCAAAUCCUAAGAAAUAAAGGAGACGAGAGAUUAAGCCUUGUUAAGGGCUAAGGAAAUAGUGAGUGAAGAGUUAGAUGAAUAUAUGAGAUACGGGUAAGGGAUUUCAAUUCUAAGUGAUGAAAGUGUGAAUGAAGGAUUACAAGAGUGGUAUAGCAAAUGAGUUAUAUAGAAUACUGCUAUGAGAAUUUGCAAUUCCUGUCUUGACUCAGUUGGAUGAAAAGGAUUAGUAACAACACAAGGCCGAUUAGGUGGCAUGCUAGAAACGCUUGGGGAUAAAUUGAAGUAUGAAUAGUUGAGCAUGCACUUGAAUAUCUUGGUGAAUAAGUGCAUGCCUUUUUUGGAAUGAUAUGCUUGGAAUGUUAAAGAGCAAAUAAGUGACUAAGUGUUUCAGGAAUGCACAAAUAUCUUUGAAAAGGAAUUACCAAUCAUACAUGGCGAGUAUAAAAAGUGGGAUUUUUAAAAACUUGCUGAAGAGCCUAACGGCUGAGUCAUGGGUUAAGUGAUCACAUGCGGUGAAGCAUAAGUUUAAGAUAAGUAUCCCUAAGGAAAUACUCAAGAGGCGUUCUACUAUGGAUCUUGUGAAAGUAAGCAUUAAGUUAUAUGGUCAUAAAGAAAAAGCUGUAAACUGAAAGUGAGAUUCGUAUUGACAUUGAAAAGUACUUAAGGAGGACCUUGUUUCAAGUCUUGCAGUUUCAAGUACAAACUAUAGAUUGGUCCAGGGAGAAUGAUGUCACAUUAGUAUGGAAGAAUACAACAAAGGAUGAUUGAAGAUAAUCUGGAUAAUGACGUCCGAUAAUGAAAACUUCCUAAUGUAGUAUGGAAAUUAGAAUUUGAAAAUGCUUAAGGCAUGCACGAUUCGAAUAAGUCUAAGUUUUAAGUGACACAUUAAAGUCGAAAUGCAACAAGGAUAUAAUAUAUAUAUACAUAUUAGAGGUAUGAAGAAUAAUUGAGAAAUAAGGAUGACUUUUAGGGAUUGUGGUAUUACAAAUAUGCAAUGAUCCAAUAAAGAUAAACCUUUGAAAGAUCAACGAGAUUAUAAAGUAUAUACGAAUAUCGGAUUACAAUUUAAUGCAAAUGACAUUUAGCAAGUGAGAUGUGAUUAAUGACAUUGUGAUGCAAAGAUAUAUAUAGUACGAUGAAACUCUAGCAAAUGAUAUAAACGAUAUGAAGUUAUGCAUAGGCAUAAUAAGAAUGUUGACAUGCACUAUGAGAAUUAUUAUAUUGAAUCUUGGAUAGGGAUGGGAAUGAAUAAAGGGAGACGUAGUCCAAGGCACGGGAACACAUGGAUCCCUAUGCGUAACAAGGAAUGUUGAUGUUUGGAAAUGCAUGUACAUACGUAUAUGUGAAAUUGAUGACUUGACCAACUGAGGUGAAGAAUUGUUCUAAGUAAUUUGAGAUUUAAACUCAAUAAUUGAUGAGUUGUAUAGAUAGCACAAUGAUAAAAUAUCCCAUCAGAAGUUGAGCUAUGUUGAUAUAAGAAAUUUUGGAGAAAUAGUCAAAGAAAUGAUACCACGGAAAUGUAAUCUAUAACGUGGUUAAGCUACACAAGAUGGACUAAUACAAUUAAGAAGAUUGAAGUUGCAGAAAUUGAAGGUAAACAUGAGUAUGUGGGAAUUAUUGAAGCCAUUAACCUCCCCCAAUGUUGGGAAUACGACAGGAAUGAAUAUGGCAUAUUAAUGAUGCUGUAAGCUACAUAAUAGUGUAUGAGGAUAGGAUGAAUGAAUGAAUGUCGAGAAGUUUGACAAGGAAAGAAGUAAUAAGAUGGUGAUUGGUAUACAUAAGUAAGUACAAAAUGUGAUUGAAAUUGGAAUGAUUAAGAUGGAGUUAUGGUUCAAAUUUAAUGAUGGGGAUAACGACAUACUCAACGUCUUAAAAUAAGAGAUAAUGAUCGUGAAGGUUACCAUCGAUUUGAUUCUAAAGGAUAAUAACAGACAUAAGUGAAGCAUUCUAGUCGAACUGGAGGUAAACAACGUGAAUGAAUGACUAGAGGUUUGAUAAGAAUCAAAAUAAAGAUAUGUUUGAGAUUAGUGACGAAAUUAAAGGCGUACUUGGGAUCUUAGUGAUAAGAAAUAACAAUUGAUAAGGGUACCGUGGUUUUGACUCAAAUAUGAUAAUAGAUAUAAGAUACGUACCUUGAUCUUGUAAAGUGUUCUAGUCAAAUUGAAGGUAAUGAAGUGCGUAAAUCUAAAUUCCCUAUGAAGAAGGAAAUGGAAUAAGAUCAUCGAGGGAGAUUAACAACCCGACGUUGAGAAAAAUUCGAGGACGAAUUUUAUUUGAGUGGGGGAGAUUGUAAUGCCCCGUACUUUGCUAAGGUGACUAAUAAAGCUUAUCUAACACCAAUUGAGGUUAAUUAUAAUGUUUAGAAAUGAUGAAAGAUGAAAGGAAUAGUUUUGGAUAAAAUAUUUCACACGCGCAAAAAUAAUAAUAAAAUAAUAAUAUUUUUAUCGGGAAAGAAUUUGUGAGAUAAAAAGUGAUUCGGAAGUGUAUUGAGGCAUAAUAAGGUAUUUUGGGUACCAAGAGAUAAGAGGAAAUUUUUGGAAUAAAAUAAUAUUAAAAUAUUAAUAUUUUAUUAAAUUUCAAAAUUUUCCAUGAAGGAAGAGUAUAUAGUCAAUCUAAGUGGGGCAGAAGAGGAAUGAGAAAAUUUCAUAGAAAAAUGACAUUAAUGGGGCUGCGUGUCUUUAUUAAGUGAAGAUAGCACGGGUAAAUAAAUAUUUUAAAUAUUAUGGGAACACCUCAUUGGAGUACAAACUUUAUACUUUAUUUGUACAUGUGUAGAACAAGAUAAUAGAAGGAAAUUGGAGUUAAAUGAGUGUUGGGAGGACUAAAUGAAAAAGGGAAGAAACUUGGAGGGUAAAACGAUAAUUUUACACAAAGUUUGGUCAAAGCUUCCAAAAAAAACUUUGACUCUCAUCCUUAUCAACCCAAAACCAUCCUUAUCUCCUUCAACAAGAUGUUUCUUCUUCAUUCUUGAAGCUUCCAACGCCAUUCUCUCAUUCUCCCAUGGAAAGUUAAUUUUCUUUCAUUUUCUUUCCUUGUUUUCUUUUCAUUUCCUUUCUCUUCUUGCUUCUUUCUUCUCCCAACUUCUUGUGCACCAAAGUUACAACUUCUAAACCCAAUUUCUAGCACUUCCAAACCCAAGGAGAAAGAAAGAAAAAUCUCUCUUUCUUUCCUUUAUUUUCUAUUUCUACUUCACUUUCAAAAAUACUUAGAUUUUUGGCUUCAAAUCUUCAUUUUCAAGGUUGAAAGGUAUAUAUUUCCAACUGUUGGAAUUUUUGAAUUUAUGAUUAUAUUUUCAGAUUUAUUCCCUAAUUUCUUCAAAUUGUUUUUCUUGGAAAGAUUAGGUUUUUUUGUUGAUCUUCAUGCCUCCAAGCUCAUCCAGGUAACGAAAGUUUAAAUUGGAGUAGUUGGCCAAAUGGGCUUGUGAAUUAGACUAGAAACUUAGGUUAAAUGUUAGGUUAGAGGGUAGAUUGCCUAAUGUAAAUUCAUUAGAAUUAUUGGAUUUAAUUUAUGACUUAAUUGAGGUUGUUAUGGUUUAUUGAUAAAUAUAGGUUUUAAUGGUAUUUCGAGACUACCUAGAUUAGAACCAAGGUGAAUGAACUUGCAUUUCAAAAUGUUUUGGGAAAAUCUUUACGUGUUUCAAUGAAUCAUUUAGGAAUUUUAUCGAUUUUUGCUUUAAAAUUUCCUGGGAACAAGCCCUUGAUAAAAUGUUUGAUGUUGUGAAAUGUGAAAUGUGUAAAAGGAUGAAUACAUUUGUUUUUUUAUAAUGUUGAUAUAUAUAUAUAUAUAUAUAUAUAUAUAUAUAUAUAAUAUGUCAUAAAUGGUACCAUUGUGUGACAAAUGCAACCGUGCAUGUGCGGGGUGAGUGUGCACUUGUCGGUGAUGACGGUGAUGAAGGAGAUGGAUGGUGAUGCUGUCCAACUAUGUGCACGAUGUGGUGGGAUGCACAUGAGCUGGGUGAGAUGGGAUGUCCGGCUAUGUGCAGGAUGUGGUGGGAUGCACAUGAGCUGUGUGAGAUGCACAUGAUGAAUCUUGAAAAUUUGCCAUUUAUUUACAAAUUGAUUUUAUUGCAACGAGAAACAUUCUAUUGAUACUGCAUUGCUUGGAUAAUUGCUAAAAAUUUUCCUUUUUUCCAAUUUUAUGUUGAAUACGGUUCCUUCAUCGUUAAAUGAUUUUACAACCAAGGGUUUAAUGGAGGGAUUUUAAUAAGAACUAGAACUAAAUGGUAUUGUUUUCAAAUAAGUACAUUAUGUGUUCUAAACCAUUCCUUGUCAUUGCUUGUCCCCUUCCUAUGUUCACUCACUGAGUUUGUACUCACAUUUUUAAAAUUCAUGUUUUAGGUUUUCUGAGUUAAAGGUGAUUGGAUCCUAGGACAAGGUGCUUCUCCCUAUCCAUUGCUUGGUAGGUUUACCAUGACAUUAAAUGUUAGCAACCGUGAUCAGAGUCACUCCGCUGACGGUCAAGGCCUAAUUAUGUGUAUAUGAAUACUUGAGGUGAAAUACUAAGAUUCAUUGGUCAAGUUAUAUAUGUAUAUUAUGGUAGAUGAUGCCAUUAUGAAUGCAUAAUUGGGUUUUAUGAAUUUUUUUCAAAGGGACUAUAUUUGAACAUUAUGAAUUUUGGAUUUUAAAGGUAUAUGUAUAAGAUUAUACAAAGAGGCUUGCUUGGGCUUAGUGGGCUGAGCCCAUUGGGCCCUUGCACCGUCAUGGCCCGAAAAUUAGGCUGUGACACCUAAAUUCAUAUUGUCAAAAUGACUUUUUAAUAUUAACUCUAUGGAA